AGGACGAACGCUGGCGGCGUGCUUAACACAUGCAAGUCGAACGGAAAGGCCCUUCGGGGUACUCGAGUGGCGAACGGGUGAGUAACACGUGGGUGAUCUGCCCUGCACUUCGGGAUAAGCCUGGGAAACUGGGUCUAAUACCGGAUAUACCUCAUGGGAUGCAUGUUUUGUGGGGGAAAGCUUUUGCGGUGUGGGAUGGGCCCGCGGCCUAUCAGCUUGUUGGUGGGGUGAUGGCCUACCAAGGCGUCGACGGGUAGCCGGCCUGAGAGGGUGUCCGGCCACACUGGGACUGAGAUACGGCCCAGACUCCUACGGGAGGCAGCAGUGGGGAAUAUUGCACAAUGGGCGCAAGCCUGAUGCAGCGACGCCGCGUGGGGGAUGACGGCCUUCGGGUUGUAAACCUCUUUCAGUAGGGACGAAGCGCAAGUGACGGUACCUACAGAAGAAGCACCGGCCAACUACGUGCCAGCAGCCGC
RNAcentral lists this ribosomal RNA (476 nucleotides) under uncultured bacterium. RNAcentral describes it as "SSU rRNA". It matches the Rfam family "Bacterial small subunit ribosomal RNA", at positions 26 to 518 of the family's 1533-position model. The record is from RNAcentral.